Molecule: ribosomal RNA, 528 nt
Filed under: Lysinibacillus sp.
Lineage: Bacteria; Bacillati; Bacillota; Bacilli; Caryophanales; Bacillaceae
Description: partial 16S ribosomal RNA
Rfam family: Bacterial small subunit ribosomal RNA
Source: RNAcentral
GUCGAGCGGACUUUAGAAAAGCUUGCUUUUCUAAAGUUAGCGGCGGACGGGUGAGUAACACGUGGGCAACCUGCCCUAUAGUUGGGGAUAACUCCGGGAAACCGGGGCUAAUACCGAAUAAUACAUUCCUUCUCCUGUUGGAAUGUUGAAAGAUGGUUUACGCUAUCGCUAUAGGAUGGGCCCGCGGCGCAUUAGCUAGUUGGUGAGGUAACGGCUCACCAAGGCGACGAUGCGUAGCCGNCCUGAGAGGGUGAUCGGCCACACUGGGACUGAGACACGGCCCAGACUCCUACGGGAGGCAGCAGUAGGGAAUCUUCCACAAUGGGCGAAAGCCUGAUGGAGCAACGCNNNGUGAGUGAAGAAGGUUUUCGGAUCGUAAAACUCUGUUGUAAGGGANNNACAAGUACAGUNGUAACUGGCUGUACCUUGACGGUACCUUAUUNNAAAGCCACGGCUAACUACGUGCCAGCAGCCGCGGUAAUACGUNNNUGGCAAGCGUUGUCCGGAAUUAUUGGGCGUAAAGCGCGC